GUCUGCAGCCAUGCCACCCUGAACAAGCCGGAUCCCGUCUGAUCUCAGAAGCUAAGGAGGGUCGAGCCUGAUUAGUACUUGGAUGGGAGACCACCUAGGAAAACCAGAUGCUGUAGGCA
RNAcentral lists this ribosomal RNA (119 nucleotides) under Pteropus alecto (black flying fox). The record is from RNAcentral. Lineage: Eukaryota; Metazoa; Chordata; Mammalia; Chiroptera; Pteropodidae.